This 487-nucleotide long non-coding RNA is filed under the name Macaca mulatta (Rhesus monkey). RNAcentral describes it as "lncRNA (ENSMMUG00000057468.1)". The record is from RNAcentral. Lineage: Eukaryota; Metazoa; Chordata; Mammalia; Primates; Cercopithecidae.
CGGUCAGGGAGGUUCAAACGAGAAGGCCUUGUCUGGCCCCAGGAAGCACCCAGGUGCCUCCUCCCUCCAUUUCCCCAUCUCCAGCGGGGCGCUGCCAGGGCGGGCUCCAGGCCUGCCCCAUGCCCCUGCGCACGAGCCUUGAGGCAGGUGGGGUUCCAGCGCGCAGAAGCAGCCCUCAACUGCUCCGAGUGUCUGUUGCUGGCGGUUCAUGGCGGGGAGACGCGCAGCGCGAGAGCAAAGGGCGGUUACCCAAUGGCCUUCGCUCUCAUGGCGUCCUUCUUGGUGUUACCUAAAAAUGAAGCCAAGUGUGAUUAGAAGGACUGAAACCUCAGACACAGGGAGCUGGCCUAUUCACCUUAGAAUCCUCUGGGGUACCCACUACAGUGUCUGCAGCAAGGAGUCAAUAAAGAACCGGGGAACAGACUGGAGCAGAAGGACCACCCAGCAGAGCCAAGCCAAAUCACUGACCCUCAGAGACCUGAUGUGA